Molecule: ribosomal RNA, 550 nt
Filed under: uncultured bacterium
Lineage: Bacteria
Description: partial 16S ribosomal RNA
Rfam family: Bacterial small subunit ribosomal RNA
Source: RNAcentral
UGGGGAAUUUUGGACAAUGGGCGAAAGCCUGAUCCAGCAAUGCCGCGUGUGUGAAGAAGGCCUUCGGGUUGUAAAGCACUUUUGUCCGGAAAGAAAUCCUUGGCUCUAAUACAGUCGGGGGAUGACGGUACCGGAAGAAUAAGCACCGGCUAACUACGUGCCAGCAGCCGCGGUAAUACGUAGGGUGCAAGCGUUAAUCGGAAUUACUGGGCGUAAAGCGUGCGCAGGCGGUUUGCUAAGACCGAUGUGAAAUCCCCGGGCUCAACCUGGGAACUGCAUUGGUGACUGGCAGGCUAGAGUAUGGCAGAGGGGGGUUAGAAUUCCACGUGUAGCAGUGAAAUGCGUAGAGAUGUGGAGGAAUACCGAUGGCGAAGGCAGCCCCCCUGGGCCAAUACUGACGCUCAUGCACGAAAGCGUGGGGGAGCAAACAGGAUUAGAUACCCUGGUAGUCCACGCCCUAAACGAUGUCAACUAGUUGUUGGGGGAUUCAUUUUCCUUAGUAACGUAGCUAACGCGUGAAGUUGACCGCCUGGGGAGUACGGUCGCAAGA